GAUGAACGCUAGCGGCAGGCCUAAUACAUGCAAGUCGAACGGUUGUAGUGAUACAAUAGUGGCGCACGGGUGCGUAACACGUAUGCAACCUACCUUAUAGACGGGGAUAGCCUUUGGAAACGGAGAUUAAUACCCGAUAGUAACCUUGAUUGGCAUCAAUUAAUGUUUAAAGAUUUAUCGCUAUAAGCUGGGCAUGCGUCCAAUUAGUUAGUUGGUUAGGUAAUGGCUGACCAAGACGAUGAUUGGUAGGGGAACUGAGAGGUUAAUCCCCCACACUGGCACUGAGAUACGGGCCAGACUCCUACGGGAGGCAGCAGUAGGGAAUAUCGGGCAAUGGAGGCAACUCUGACCCAGCCAUGCCGCGUGCAGGAUGAAGGCGUUAUGCGUUGUAAACUGCUUUUAUAUAGGAAGAAAUAGACCUUGCGAGGUAAGUUGACGGUACUAUAUGAAUAAGCACCGGCUAACUCCGUGCCAGCAGCCGCGGUAAUACGGAGGGUGCAAGCGUUGUCCGGAUUUUAUUGGGUUUAAAGGGUGCGUAGGCGGCUUAUUAAAGUCAGUGGUGAAAGACGGUCGCUCAACCAUUGCAGUGCCAUUGAUACUGGUAGACUUGAGUGAGAUUGAGGUAGCUGGGAUGGAUAGUGUAGCGGUGAAAUGCAUAGAUAUUAUCCAGAACACCAAUUGCGUAGGCAAGUUACUAAGUCUCACCUGACGCUGAGGCACGAAAGUGUUGGGUAUCAAACAGGAUUAGAUACCCUGGCUAGUCCACACUGUAACGAUGAUAACUACUGUUGCCUUUCGGGUCAGUG
This 806-nucleotide ribosomal RNA is filed under the name uncultured bacterium. RNAcentral describes it as "bacterial SSU rRNA". It matches the Rfam family "Bacterial small subunit ribosomal RNA", at positions 28 to 845 of the family's 1533-position model. The record is from RNAcentral.